UCGAGAAUCUUUCGCAAUGGGCGCAAGCCUGACGAAGCGACGCCGUGUGAGCGAAGAAGGCCUUCGGGUUGUAAAGCUCUUUCGCUAGGGAACAAGAGAAGCGGACUAACAAGUCGCUAAUUUGAUGGUACUUGGUAAAGAAGCACCGGCUAACUCCGUGCCAGCAGCUGCGGUAAUACGGAGGGUGCAAGCAUUGAUCGGAAUUACUGGGCGUAAAGGGCGCGUAGGCGGCUGUAAAAGUCAGAUGUGAAAUUCCGGGGCUCAACCCCGGAGCUGCAUUUGAAACUCUACAGCUAGAGUACAGUUAGGGUAAACGGAAUUCCACGUGUAGCGGUGAAAUGCGUAGAUAUGUGGAAGAACACCGGUGGUGAAGACGGUUUACUGGGCUGUAACUGACGCU
Molecule: ribosomal RNA, 400 nt
Filed under: uncultured bacterium
Lineage: Bacteria
Description: bacterial SSU rRNA
Rfam family: Bacterial small subunit ribosomal RNA
Source: RNAcentral